RNAcentral lists this unclassified non-coding RNA (366 nucleotides) under uncultured bacterium. Its description in RNAcentral is "contains 16S-23S intergenic spacer region". The record is from RNAcentral.
UCCGACUUGUAGCCGGCAGUCUCUUAUGAGAAUUACAACAUAAGACAUGGGUUGCGCUCGUUUACGGACUUAACCGAACACCUCAAGGCACGAGCUGACGACGACCAUGCAGCACCUGUCAUCCGGUUCCUUACGGCACCCCCGAGUUUCCUCAGGGUUCCGGAGAUGUCAAGCCUGGGUAAGGUUCCUCGUUUAGUAUCGAAUUAAACCACAUGCUCCACCGCUUGUGUGGGUCCCCGUCUAUUCCUUUGAGUUUUAAUCUUGCGACCGUACUCCCCAGGCGGGAUACUUAACGUGUUAACUUGGGCACAGAGAGGGGUCGAGUCCUCCCUACACCGAGUAUCCAUCGUUUACGGCGUGGACUAC